UAAGCGGUCACUCUAGCGGCCACUUUGAACAACAACAGCACGCGUCGCGUCUCUCCCUUUUUUUUUUUAACACUCCUGGCAUUUUAUAUUCUGUAGUUUCGUGUCGCGCGUGAUUAACAACAAAGGGAACACAGUGUGCGCGGUGUGUCAACAAGAAAAACGUAGUUAGAAUAACACCCUGACAACAACAAAUUCCGAAGGACAAGCAGACACCAGCGAGAAAGCAAGAGGCAGGACCUUCGCAGCGUGUUAAAAGGAUCGAGAGACUUGAUCAACGGGAUACAGGGUGCCAUGUGGAGUCCGACGCACUGCAGUGUAACGGUGCAGCGGGCGCGGGGACUGCUCACCAAGGGCAAGAAUGGCACCAACAACUGCUUCGUCACCAUUGCCCUGGGCAAGGAGAAGUACCAGACGUCCGUCAAGGACAAGGCCGAGACGAGUGUCAACUGGAACGAGGAGUGCGAACUGAAAAUUCCUGACCAGGGCAACCGCGCCGAGCUCACUCUGACCUGCCUGCACCGGAAUAAUCUGGGCAUCGAUGAGUUCCUGGGCCAGGCCUCGCUGCCCCUCAACGAGAUGGAUGUGUACGACCGGCCACGCGCCAAGUGGUUCAAGCUGGAGAGCAAGCCCGGCAAGGAGAAGAAGAACAAGGAGCGUGGCGAGCUGGAGGUGCGCAUCGCCUUCGUGGUGAAGUCUGGCUCGCUGACCGACCUCAGCAAGAAGGACAAGCACAAGUCUUCCAUCGGCCAGCUGGCCAGUUCCGUGGGCGGCAGCCUGCUGUCCAUCGGCAAUGGCGAGAAGCGGCGGAGCAUCAAGAAGCUGGCAGGUUCGAUAACCUCCAAGCUGCACAUCCGCAGCAAGAAGAAGCAGGAGGCGGGGGCCGACGACAGCAGCUCCUUCGGCGGCUCCUUCGCCAGCCUGGGCACGCCCAACAGCUCGAAUGGCCGGGGCCAGAACGGCGGCAGUGGGCGACGACGAGGCGGCCAGAGGGCGGGCGAAGCCGAUCCCGGCGUAAUCAGCGAGGACGAAGACGAGGACGAAUUUGUGUUCGACAACCUCUCGCACAAGAGCUCGGGCAGCUCGCUCAACAUCCAACGCACCGGCCUCCAGCCGCCGCCAUCCGGUACGCCCAACUUUGCGCCGCGCCACCCAUCGCCCCUGCUGAGCAACGGAGUGGGUGGUCUCGCCGGAAACGGAGUCGGAAUCGGAAGCGGCAGCGGGAAAGGUAAGCCAGCGGUUUUGCCAGCGACGCUCGAUGAGGAUGCGCCCAUCGACGCGGAGAUGGAACAGCUUGAGCUCGAUUUCAGUGUCCGUGCCCACGCCCGCGCCAAUGCCAGCGCAAAUGCUAGCGCAGGCGGAAGCGGAAGCGCCAGCACCAGCACUGUGCCGCCUCCCUCGAAGCCGCCGCGUAUCCCGCUGGCGGAUGAGCAGCAGGUUUCUGGGAGCUUGGAGCGAGAGAAGCCAAAGGAGAAGCCAACCGAGUCGGUAAGCGACAAGGACGAGUGGGCGUCAAAGUUGUAUGGUGGUGGCAAGUACCUGGAGAUCGGUAGCACUGACUCCUUGAAGCGGCGCAGCUGGGAAGAUCGUGUCCCACUUCCCCCCAGUGUCGAGGAGCCGCCGCCAUUGCCCUCGUCCAGCUCCUCGUCCAGUUCCAGCUCGGAAAGCGAUGACGAGGACGGGCACCCACCGCACACAGCGCCGCCACCUGUACCCGUGCUUGCUUCUGUACCCGUGCCUGCUUCUGCACCCGUACCUGCUUCUAUAACCGUUCCAUCCGUUGCUACUGACUCAGUAGUGGCCACCUCAUCCUCGCUCUUCUCCCCCGAUGUGGAGCACCGCAACUUUGAUACCUUCAACGCCAGCUUCGCCAAGUACGAGCAGCGCAACAGCACCGCCAUCUUUGCAGAUGAGCCUGAGUUGGAGGAUUUGACCGUGGAAUUGGAGAAGCCGGCGCCGACGCCCACGCCCACAGCACGCCCCAAGCCACAGCCUCGCUCUGUGGCGGAUCCGAGGGCAGAGGAGGAGAGGGCCAACGAAGAGGCUGCGCGCCUGCAGCGCGCCGCAGAGGAUGCCCGUUUGGAGGCGGAACUGCGUCUGAAUGAGGAGCGUCUGCGCGAGGAAGAGGCGGCCAUGCGGCGAGAACUGGCUGAGGAGAAGGAGCGCCAAAACCAGCUGCAGCUGGACGAGCAGCAGCGACGCGAGGCAAAGCGCUGGGAAGAGGACCAAAGGCUUCUGAGCUUCGCCAAGCGCUCCACUUCCCUAGAGGAGCCGGCCACAGAGCAGCCGCAGCUGAAGCGUAUGGGCGAGCAGGAGUUUGCGCCGAAGCAGGAGCCUGAGGUGGAAACGGCUGAGCCGGAGCACAACUUCCUUACGCCCGAGCAGUCGCCCAAGGAGUUCCAGACGAACGGCAGUGGGAGCGGGAGCGGGGAGCGCUGGGAGAAGCGACUGGGCAAGUUCAAAUACGGCAACAAGCGAGACAAAUACAACAACGACAACGAGAGCAGCUCUCCCAGUCCCAAGUCCACGGAGCGCAUCAUUAUUGGUCACGAAAAGUCGGGAUCCCAUGCGGAGCGCCGCUCGGAGAUAUCCGCCCAGCUGGCGAAGAAAUACGAGGGCAAGUCCCGGGAGGAACUAAUGCUAAUUGCCAAUGGAAUGGAGAACGAGGCUUUGCUGCAGCGACAGCGCGUUAAGGAGCUGGAGGACUACCUGGACAACCUGCUGCUGCGCGUGAUGGAGACGCACCCGAAGAUCCUGCAGAACCCCUAUUCGCGCACCACGUCCGCCAAGAGGUACGGCACCUGGUCGUUCUGGUCGCUUCCCCGGACCACGCUCACCCACUAACAAACUGCAUGCCCCUGACCGCCGUUAUAAAAAUUACAUCAAUAUGAAUGACUUUCUAAAGUAAGUGCUACGCAUGUUGCAAGUUGCAUUUAAGUAGACACUUAACCAACAAUCCCCAACAACAACAACAACAACAACAACAUCACCACCAACACCACAACCCCCAACAACAACAACAACAACUGCGUGACACGAGUAACAAGAACUGAGGCGACUUGUCCGGCUGAAAAAAGAGAAGGAACCACUGUGGCGGGAUUGGGAUCGAACGGUUAAACAGCCAAACUGGUCAUCGUCACGAAUCGGUUCACUUGUCCAAGAACAGCUGGAGGAGAUUGCCGGGGAGAAGUUGUGUGUAAACGAAUCGAAACACCAAUCGAACACCAUGUUGCCUUUGUCGUGAACAGCGAAAUUCAAGUGCUUUCUAAACCGUAAUACUAAGAGGGAAACUAAAUGUACACGUAAAUCAGUUAAGCUUAAGAAGUCCAAAAUUUGUUGUUAAUCUGAUAUUUCUAUAGCAUUCGUUGUUCUUCGUUUGCCUCGUACUAAACCGAACUAAAUUAAUUGUACUAUACUACUACUAUUUGGCAAUCGCUAGAUCAUUGAUUUGCCUUUAUUGGAGUUUCUUGUCGAUUGAUUGAAAUUAUCUAAAAGUAUUUUGUUUAUUUUUUUUGUGUGUCAAAUUUUUUGUAAUAUUUUGUGCAAAAAGAGUUUGAGAUGUUUUUGUAAAGUGCCGCGAGGGAAGUGGCCUUAGUGGAUUAAGUCUUAAAUUAUUUAUGUUUAGCUGUUAAGCAAAAGGGGGGAAGGGUGACAACAUGUGUCGCCUGCAAAAACACCACACACAGUUGAAAUAUGUUGAUACUACAAUGAUUUUACUUAUUGAUAUACACGCAACCAGAAUAAAAACAUUUUUAACCUUA
Molecule: RNA transcript, 3758 nt
Organism: Drosophila rhopaloa
Lineage: Eukaryota; Metazoa; Arthropoda; Insecta; Diptera; Drosophilidae
Gene: Rip11
Gene name: fibrous sheath CABYR-binding protein
Exons: 7
Source: RefSeq, a predicted model, not a curated record